Molecule: non-coding RNA, 778 nt
Organism: Miniopterus natalensis
Lineage: Eukaryota; Metazoa; Chordata; Mammalia; Chiroptera; Miniopteridae
Source: RefSeq, a predicted model, not a curated record
AAAGAAAAGAUUUGAUGUGUCGAUAGAUAAAGGAAAAUUGGAUAUUAGUUUCUUGGAGAAGAGCUGUAAUCAAGGAGCUUGUAGGGAAAUGUUUGAGAAAUGGACUUAGGACGGGCUAGAAGGAUCUGGUUGGCAUAGUAAGAAUGCAUAGUGAGAGAAAUGGAAAAUCACAGCAUGAUAAAGGGUGAAUAAGGAAGGUUGUGGAAGAAGAUGCAGGCCAGGAAAAGCAAAGAAAAUUUCUGAAAGAGGAUCCUAAAGAUGAACAAGGGGCUCUAAAGUGACAAGAGCAACAGAAGAGAUAAGAAAAUGAAGAAGUGAAGAAAAAACAUCUCCGCCUUCCUGAGAUCAUCUACUCUGAGCCUCCUCUGGUGGUCCUCUGAGCACUGAGAAGUUGUUGCCUCUCUCAGAAGAGGCCUGCACAGACAUGAGGUCAAGACGGACAGUUUUCGGUUGUGUGGGUCUCUCAGAUUGCACUGCACAGUAUAAAAAUUAGGGACCAAGUAAUCAGACUUUUUCUUUGGCUGGAUUACAUUUUCUCUUGGGAUAUCAGACGCAUUCCACUGAAGCCACAGAAAGAAAAGUGAAGAUCAAGAUGCUGUGAAAAGAGGCAGCCACUGUCCCUGUCUAUGCCCCAGUGAGGUUCACCUCUGCAGAAACCUGGACCCAGAUCCCAGGCCAGUCUCUACUUAGGUCUCAUUGGUGCCACAUUGGGCUGUUCCUCGGAGGCAGUGUGAGGGUCAGUACCUUCAUCUUGGUGCGCAAGAAGCCAUGGUCUCUG